Molecule: long non-coding RNA, 237 nt
Filed under: Medicago truncatula (barrel medic)
Lineage: Eukaryota; Viridiplantae; Streptophyta; Magnoliopsida; Fabales; Fabaceae
Description: lncRNA gene12807
Source: RNAcentral
UUCUUAUUUUAGUCUAUGUGUGGGCUACGAUACAAGCUAGUCUGAAAAAGGAACAGGCUUGUAGGAGUCAAGCUAAAAAAAAUCCUUGAAAGCUCGAUGUUUGAGAAUCGCCUUCUUACGCUCCUCCUGGAAACUUGAGACACCCUUUGAUUUUCAGAUCUUAGAAUCCAAACCAGGGAUAUGUUGGUGGGUUCAAAACCUUCAAAGCAACAGAAUCAAUAAGUGGACCACAAGCUG